GGGGGGGGGGGGGGGGGGGGCGGGGGGGGGGGGGGCGGGGGGCAGCACGGGAGGAGCUGGCUCUUACGGGUGGCGAGUGGGGGACGGGUGGGGAAUACAGCGGAGUCUACUUGUUCGUGGGGGAUAACGUAGGGAAACUUACGCUAAUACCGCAUCCGACCUACGGGUGAAAGCAGGGGAUCUUCGGACCUUGCGCGAUUGAAUGAGCCGAUGUCGGAUUAGCUAGUUGGCGGGGUAAAGGACCACCAAGGCGACGAUCCGUAGCUGGUCUGAGAGGAUGAUCAGCACAACUGGAACUGAGACACGGUCCAGACUCCUACGGGAGGCAGCAGUGGGGAAUAUUGGACAAAGGGCGCAAGCCUGAUCCAGCCAUACCGCGUGGGUGAAGAAGGCCUUCGGGUUGUAAAGCCCUUUUGUUGGGAAAGAAAAGCAGCAGGUUAAUACCCCGCUGUUCUGACGGUACCCAAAGAAUAAGCACCGGCUAACUUCGUG
This 492-nucleotide ribosomal RNA is filed under the name uncultured bacterium. RNAcentral's name for it is "partial 16S ribosomal RNA". It matches the Rfam family "Bacterial small subunit ribosomal RNA", at positions 38 to 507 of the family's 1533-position model. The record is from RNAcentral.